CGCUACCCAAGAAGGUUUGACCUGAGCAGCUGAGUGUGUGGGGCCAGACGAGCCUAAGCCCCCUUUUCGAGGGUUUUCGGCCGACAGGGGAGGGAACUGAGAAGUGUCCUUCAGAUUUGACUCAAUCGGAGGAGGGAGAGUCAGAUUUGUGCGGGAGGGGGGUCAUGAGGUCCAAGAGAGGGACCUUUGGGCGAGGAGGCGGAGGGUUUCGACGGGGAUUUUGGUAGGG
This 229-nucleotide long non-coding RNA is filed under the name Brassica rapa (field mustard). RNAcentral's name for it is "long non-coding RNA (BRAP_LNC004631)". Lineage: Eukaryota; Viridiplantae; Streptophyta; Magnoliopsida; Brassicales; Brassicaceae. The record is from RNAcentral.